RNAcentral lists this ribosomal RNA (406 nucleotides) under uncultured bacterium. RNAcentral describes it as "partial 16S ribosomal RNA". It matches the Rfam family "Bacterial small subunit ribosomal RNA", at positions 30 to 526 of the family's 1533-position model. The record is from RNAcentral.
AUUGAACGCUAGCGGCAUGCCUAACACAUGCAAGUCGAACGAGUGGCGGACGGGUGAGUAAUAUCUGGGAACCUGCCUGGUAGAGGGGGAUAACUACUGGAAACGGUAGCUAAUACCGCAUACCAUCGGAUGUGCCCAGAUGGGAUUAGCUAGUAGGGGGGGUAAAGGCUCACCAAGGCCACGAUCCCUAGCUGGUCUGAGAGGAGGACCAGCCACACUGGAAAUGAGACACGGUCCAGACUCCUACGGGAGGCAGCAGUGGGGAAUUUUGUACAAUGGGCGCAAGCCUGAUGCAGCCAUGCCGCGUGUAUGAAGAAGGCCUGCGGGUUGUAAAGUACUUUCAGCGGGGAGGCGUUACCUGCAGAAGAAGCACCGGCUAACUCCGUGCCAGCAGCCGCGGUAAUAC